Molecule: long non-coding RNA, 695 nt
Filed under: Marmota monax (woodchuck)
Lineage: Eukaryota; Metazoa; Chordata; Mammalia; Rodentia; Sciuridae
Source: RNAcentral
GAUUUGUUUGAAAAUUUCCUUUAAAAAUGAAAAAAAAUUUUCUGGGUAUUGUGGCACAAGCCUGUAUUCCCAGACUCUUGGGAGGCUGAAGCAAAUUUUAGACCAGCCUUGGCAACUUAGCAAAACCCUGUCUUAAAAUAAAAAAUUAAAAAAAUUAGAGAUGUACCUCUGUGGUAAAGCACCCCUGGGUUCAAUCCUCAGUACCCACCCACCACCAAUAAAUAAAUAAUAUUUUAAAAAUAAAAAAAAAUCAUUUGCUAUAUAGUUUACAGAAACCAUCUAUUGACAGCUAAAUAUUAUUGAGAGAAAUCAAGAAGUACAUAAACAAGACGAACACAUUCAUGAACUGGAAAACUCAUUUUUAGGAGUCAGUUAUCCCUAAUCUGAACUAUAAAUUCAAUGCAACUCAAUAAAAAUCCCCUACAUGCUAUGUGUGACAAUUAACAAGACCAAAAUGUUUAUGGAAAUGCCAGACCUAUUAAAAAAGAUCAAAGUUGGAAGUCUUAUAGGAGUAAAUAUCAAGACACUACAAAGCUACAUUAUUGAAGACAGGGAGGUUUUGGUAAAAAGAUAAAGACCAAUCUAAGAAAAAAAAAAGUCCUGAAAUAGAUCCACACAUAUACAUUUACCAGAUUUAUGACAGUGUCACCAAUGUAACUCAAUGAGAAAAUGCUGAUCUUUUCAAUAGAUAGUGC